UCUCCCAAUUCUUAGGAAUGCAGUUUGUCUGAUAAAGCUCAGAGUAAAGCUAUAUAGAGACAGAUGAACUAAGAUAAAGACCUUUUUAAGGGAAAAAUGCCUACUUUUGUGAGGAUUUUUUUUUUUAAUCUGGGAAGCACGUAAAGCUAGAAGAAUAUGACUAACAGAGCAAUUCAUAUUUCAUUUAUACAUAGUAGAUCUGAAAGGUCUCAGACACAAUAAAAGUCACACAAUAUCUGGUGUUAUUUGCUCAUUAAAAUAUGAAUUGAAAAGGAAAGGCAAAAGUAAAGAUGGCAGGUUUAAGUCAUGUGUCAUCUAUAAGAUAUUAGGAAACUGAAUCUGGCUUUGAAUCCCCUCCCCAGUUUCUUACCCUCACCACUCCUCUCUAUGCACCAGAAGACUUCACUUAUGCACACUGUCUACCUUGUGUUUCACUGAUACAAAUGAAAUCAGAUAUUUUUUUUCCUCCCAAAAUGUGCAAUGGUGACUUUCAAACCUAAAUUUGCAGGUGUCUGCCCUGUGCUCCUGGGAUUUUAUUAGGGAGUAUGACCAAGAGGCAUAAUUUGAAACUAUUGUUAUACUGAUAAUGCCACAGCUUAUUUUCCUAUUACAGGUGAUCCAAGGGAAGUAAUUUCCUGUUUGAUGAGACACCUAAAUGACAUGUAGCUGUGGGUAUCAGAAAAACAUGCCCUGCGAUUAAAUUUAAAGAAUGUUGAGCUUAUAUUGUCUAGUGCCUGUUACUUUUUGAAUGGCACUUCAUGCUUUGCAACUUCAUUUAAAGGAAGUUUUAUAGCAUCUCAUUUGAAGGUUCAUGACCUCGAGGUCAUCUUUGAUAUCAGCCCAUCUUUUGAUUAUCAGUUUAGCUACAUGACAAAAACUUCUACACCUACAGAGGACAGUAAGUAAGGCUACAACCAAGGCUGUCUCAGGAGGGUGCUAGGCUGUCAUUCAUGCUUUCAUUACAUCUCAGCUGGAUUACUGAAACAUAUUGUUCCCAGGCCUUCCGGACCAGGCACUUCAGAAACUGCAACACAGCAAAAAUAUUGAAGCUGGAGGGAUUAAGAAGCUGUUCAGUGUGCACAGCCCACAGCAGCCAUGCUGAGAGCUUAACAAGAACCACAGGAUCUGGCCUUUAAUAACAGAUAUGUUCCUGUACACACAUCUUUCCAAAUACCACCUCGUGUAAGGGAAAUGUGACAGACUUAAAUAUGCAGAAGAAUAACGGAGUAUUAUGGUCUUUAUUCUUCAAAUAUCAUAAUCAGGUAAUUAUCUGCUGAAGUGUCCUGUUCACUUUCUCGUUAAGCCACUUGUUUAUUUAGGAAGGAAUUCAAUCUGCACAUCAAUAUUUUGUAUAUCUUAGAUGCACUGUCUUCACCAAUUUCACUUUUUCUCCAUCUCUUCCGUGAGAAUUUACUUUCCCUAUGUAGCACUGUUCAAGCAAGCUUCCCAGUUGUUAAAUGCACUGAGAAAGUAUUAGGAGAAAAUUGUGACAAGAUGAAAAGGUCUCAGAAUAUUUGGCAAUGGAUGUAUAUGCAGAGAGUCUACCGAGGCAGAGAAGUUUUGCAAUAGGAAAAUUCUAGCAUCUACAUAGGUUAUAAUUCAAUCUUCUUUCUAAUUUUACAGACUGACAACGGAUUCAAAAGCUCCCAGGAGAAAGUGAGCAUGGCUGAAAUGUAGGAGGUCUGGUACAAAGAUGAACAAGCCUUGUUAAGUGAAACCUUUGAAUAUGUAUGCCCUUUUUGAUUUGCUGCAGUGAGUUUCUCUACCGCUAGUAAUUCACUUCGGCUUGUUUACAUUUAAAGGAUAACAUUCAUAAUAGAAAACACAAAUGAAAAAAUGACUUCUGCAGAUGAUUAAGUGUUACAGAAAGAUAAGUUUGGAACCUAACUGUGAAAGCUGUUAAUCAUACAUUUACCCCAACAUCAGCAGCACUGUCCCAUUUACACUUUCCUUCCUUGGAAACCACACAAGAAAAAGGACAUUUACAAGACAUGGAGGCAUGGAUAUGUUUUCGUAGUGCUUUUCUGGACUAUUUGAUGCUUAAUCUAUGAAGUUACAGGUGAAUAAGCUGUCUGAAAGUGAAACCCUGAAUGCUCAGCACAGUGCUGAGGAGACAGAAAUAAGAAAAAAAUAAAUAAUUUAUUGCUUUUGCUUAAUCUGUAAUU
This 2165-nucleotide long non-coding RNA is filed under the name Phasianus colchicus (ring-necked pheasant). RNAcentral's name for it is "lncRNA (ENSPCLG00000000581.1)". The record is from RNAcentral. Lineage: Eukaryota; Metazoa; Chordata; Aves; Galliformes; Phasianidae.